Molecule: ribosomal RNA, 463 nt
Filed under: Vreelandella stevensii
Lineage: Bacteria; Pseudomonadati; Pseudomonadota; Gammaproteobacteria; Oceanospirillales; Halomonadaceae
Description: partial 16S ribosomal RNA
Rfam family: Bacterial small subunit ribosomal RNA
Source: RNAcentral
CCUACGGGGGCUGCAGUGGGGAAUAUUGGACAAUGGGCGAAAGCCUGAUCCAGCCAUGCCGCGUGUGUGAAGAAGGCCUUCGGGUUGUAAAGCACUUUCAGUGGGGAAGAAAGCCUUGGGGCUAAUACCCUCGAGGAAGGACAUCACCCACAGAAGAAGCACCGGCUAACUCCGUGCCAGCAGCCGCGGUAAUACGGGGGUGCGAGCGUUAAUCGGAAUUACUGGGCGUAAAGCGCGCGUAGGCGGUCUGAUAAGCCGGUUGUGAAAGCCCCGGGCUCAACCUGGGAACGGCAUCCGGAACUGUCAGGCUAGAGUGCAGGAGAGGAAGGUAGAAUUCCCGGUGUAGCGGUGAAAUGCGUAGAGAUCGGGAGGAAUACCAGUGGCGAAGGCGGCCUUCUGGACUGACACUGACGCUGAGGUGCGAAAGCGUGGGUAGCAAACAGGAUUAGAUACCCCAGUAGUC